RNAcentral lists this ribosomal RNA (639 nucleotides) under Brevibacterium linens. RNAcentral describes it as "bacterial SSU rRNA". It matches the Rfam family "Bacterial small subunit ribosomal RNA", at positions 64 to 706 of the family's 1533-position model. The record is from RNAcentral. Lineage: Bacteria; Bacillati; Actinomycetota; Actinomycetes; Micrococcales; Brevibacteriaceae.
GAACGCUGAAGCCCUGGUGCUUGCACCGGGGUGGAUGAGUGGCGAACGGGUGAGUAACACGUGAGUAACCUGCCCCCGACUUCGGGAUAAGCCCGGGAAACUGGGUCUAAUACCGGAUAUGACGACCGAAUGCAUCUUUGGUUGUGGAAAGUUUUUUCGGUUGGGGAUGGGCUCGCGGCCUAUCAGUUUGUUGGUGAGGUAAUGGCUCACCAAGACGACGACGGGUAGCCGGCCUGAGAGGGCGACCGGCCACACUGGGACUGAGACACGGCCCAGACUCCUACGGGAGGCAGCAGUGGGGAAUAUUGCACAAUGGGGGAAACCCUGAUGCAGCGACGCAGCGUGCGGGAUGACGGCCUUCGGGUUGUAAACCGCUUUCAGCAGGGAAGAAGCCCUUCGGGGUGACGGUACCUGCAGAAGAAGUACCGGCUAACUACGUGCCAGCAGCCGCGGUAAUACGUAGGGUACAAGCGUUGUCCGGAAUUAUUGGGCGUAAAGAGCUCGUAGGUGGUUGGUCACGUCUGCUGUGGAAACGCAACGCUUAACGUUGCGCGUGCAGUGGGUACGGGCUGACUAGAGUGCAGUAGGGGAGUCUGGAAUUCCUGGUGUAGCGGUGAAAUGCGCAGAUAUCAGGAGGAA